AUUACUCCUACGGGAGGCAGCAGUCGAGAAUCUUCCGCAAUGGGCGAAAGCCUGACGGAGCGACGCCGCGUGGAGGACGAAGGCCUUCGGGUUGUAAACUCCUGUCACGAGUUAAGAAGGCGCAUGUGCGAACAGCAUAGGCGUUUGACGUAAGCUCGAGAGGAAGCACUGGCUAACUCUGUGCCAGCAGCCGCGGUAAUAAU
Molecule: ribosomal RNA, 203 nt
Filed under: uncultured bacterium
Lineage: Bacteria
Description: partial 16S ribosomal RNA
Rfam family: Bacterial small subunit ribosomal RNA
Source: RNAcentral